UAACAAGGAUUCCCCUAGUAACUGCGAGUGAAGCGGGAAAAGCUCAAAUUUAAAAUCUGGCGGUUUUGCCGUCCGAGUUGUAAUCUGGAGAAGCGUUUUCCGCGUCGGACCGUGUACAAGUCUCUUGGAACAGAGCGUCAUAGAGGGUGAGAAUCCCGUCCAUGACACGGACUCCCGGUGCUUUGUGAUACGCUCUCGAAGAGUCGAGUUGUUUGGGAAUGCAGCUCAAAAUGGGUGGUAAAUUCCAUCUAAAGCUAAAUAUUGGCGAGAGACCGAUAGCGAACAAGUACCGUGAGGGAAAGAUGAAAAGCACUUUGGAAAGAGAGUUAAACAGUACGUGAAAUUGUUGAAAGGGAAACGCUUGAAGUCAGUCGCGUCUUACGGGACUCAGCCUUGCCUCGGCUUGGUGUACUUCCUGUAGGACGGGUCAACAUCGAUUUUGACCGGUGGACAAAGGGGAUGGGAAUGUGGCAAUCUUCGGGUUGUGUUAUAGCCCUCUUCCAUAUACAUCGGUUGGGAUCGAGGACCGCAGCGCGCCUUUAUGGCCGGGGGCUUGCCCCACGUACCGCGCUUAGGAUGUUGGCAUAAUGGCUUUAAGCGACCCGUCUUGAAACACGGACCAAGGAGUCUAACAUGCUUGCGAGUGUUAGGGUGGAAAACCCUUGCGCGUAAUGAAAGUGAAAGUUGAGAGCCUUCUUUUGGAGGUGCAUCGACGCCCGGCCCUGAAGUUCUCUGACGGUGCUGCGGUAGAGCACGUAUGUUGGGACCCGAAAGAUGGUGAACUAUGCCUGAAUAGGGCGAAGCCAGAGGAAACUCUGGUGGAGGCUCGUAGCGAUUCUGACGUGCAAAUCGAUCGUCAAAUUUGGG
RNAcentral lists this ribosomal RNA (867 nucleotides) under Coniferiporia weirii. RNAcentral describes it as "eukaryotic LSU rRNA". It matches the Rfam family "Eukaryotic large subunit ribosomal RNA", at positions 66 to 915 of the family's 3401-position model. The record is from RNAcentral. Lineage: Eukaryota; Fungi; Basidiomycota; Agaricomycetes; Hymenochaetales; Hymenochaetaceae.